Molecule: ribosomal RNA, 531 nt
Filed under: uncultured bacterium
Lineage: Bacteria
Description: bacterial SSU rRNA
Rfam family: Bacterial small subunit ribosomal RNA
Source: RNAcentral
UGGGGAAUAUUGCACAAUGGGCGCAAGCCUGAUGCAGCGACGCCGCGUGGGGGAUGACGGCCUUCGGGUUGUAAACUCCUUUCGCCAGGGACGAAGCGUUUUGUGACGGUACCUGGAGAAGAAGCACCGGCUAACUACGUGCCAGCAGCCGCGGUAAUACGUAGGGUGCAAGCGUUGUCCGGAAUUACUGGGCGUAAAGAGCUCGUAGGUGGUUUGUCACGUCGUCUGUGAAAUUCCACAGCUUAACUGUGGGCGUGCAGGCGAUACGGGCUGACUUGAGUACUGUAGGGGUAACUGGAAUUCCUGGUGUAGCGGUGAAAUGCGCAGAUAUCAGGAGGAACACCGAUGGCGGAGGCAGGUUACUGGGCAGUUACUGACGCUGAGGAGCGAAAGCAUGGGUAGCAAACAGGAUUAGAUACCCUGGUAGUCCAUGCCGUAAACGGUGGGCGCUAGGUGUAGGGACCUUUUGGGGUUUCUGUGCCGUAGCUAACGCAUUAAGCGCCCCGCCUGGGGAGUACGGCCGCAAGGCUA